UAUUUCAAUUAAAUCGAUCACUAUGUGAUAGUGGUUACAAGAGUAACUUUAGCAUUAGAUUAUGGCAUGAUAUUUCCUUUAUUUUCCAUGAUUUCAAAAAUUUGAACUUUUAUGUAUUGUAAGGAAAGUAGAGUAACGGUACAUUAUUAUGUAUAUGAAGUGUAAUUCGUCAGGCCGAUAAGUGAUUUUGAUCGAUCAAGGAAAAUGAUGGCUUUAGAGUUCUUACUUCUUGUUCGAGUUUUCUCAUUGCUUCUUUCUUUUUUUCUUUAAUGAGUGUAUGCAUGUGUGAAUGGUAGUUUUAUUAAGUACCGUUUCUUCUAAUAACGUUUUCUUCUGUAUAAAUAUUGUUUGAAUACAAUGACGGAUUCAGGAUUUUUUGGUA
Long non-coding RNA from Solanum lycopersicum (tomato), 382 nucleotides. RefSeq lists it as uncharacterized. Lineage: Eukaryota; Viridiplantae; Streptophyta; Magnoliopsida; Solanales; Solanaceae. The record is from RefSeq and is a predicted model, not a curated record.